CAAGGUCUUGGUCUUAAACCCCUUAUUACUUUCACCCCCUAAUUAUACAUGCAAGCCUCACCAUUACAGUGAAAUAGCCCACCAACACACCAACCGGAGCUGGUAUCAGGCAAUAGCCCAAAACGCCAAGCAUAACCUAAGCCACACCCCCACGGGCCAGCAGCAGUAAAUAAUAUUAGGCUAUGAGCGUAAGCUUGACCUAGCAAGGGGGCGUCAGGGCCGGUAAAUACCCGUGCCAGCGACCGCGGUUACACGAUAGGCCCAAAAUAAUAUUAACGGCGUAAAGCACGACUAAAAAUAAGUUAAAACAUUAGGAACGAAGCCAAACCGGGCCGUAAAAAGCCAUAAGCCACACUAACCACACCCUAACAACAAACAACUUCAACUCGUGAAAGUUAGGGUACAAACUAAGAUUAGAUACCUUACUAUGCCUAACCAUAACACAACAAUCAAAUUACCAAUUGUUCGCCAAAUAACUACGAGUAAAAACUUAAAAUUUAAAAGACUUGACGGUGCCUCAAAAUCAGCCUAGAGGAGCCUGUCUAAUAACCGAUACCCCACGCUUAACCCAACCCACCCUAGCCAAACAGUCUAUAUACCGCCGUCGCCAGCCUACCUUAUGAAAGAAACAAAGUGAGCUAAAUAGUAACGCACUAACACGACAGGUCGAGGUGUAACUUAUGGGGGGGACUAAGAUGGGCUACAUUUUCUAAACCAGAAAACACGAAUUAACCCAUGAAAAAGAAACUGAAGGCGGAUUUAGAAGUAUGCCAGGAGCAACUAACCCCACAGAAAUCAAUGCAAUGAGGCGCGUACACACCGCCCGUCAUCCCUGUCAAUCAACUACAAAACAUACAUUAAACCAAAACUAACACUUAAACAGGGCAAGUCGUAACAUGGUAAGCGUACUGGAAAGUGCGCUUAGAAA
This 928-nucleotide non-coding RNA is filed under the name Elaphe quatuorlineata (Four-lined ratsnake). The record is from RNAcentral. Lineage: Eukaryota; Metazoa; Chordata; Lepidosauria; Squamata; Colubridae.